This 1692-nucleotide ribosomal RNA is filed under the name Triticum aestivum (bread wheat). RNAcentral describes it as "partial small subunit ribosomal RNA". Lineage: Eukaryota; Viridiplantae; Streptophyta; Magnoliopsida; Poales; Poaceae. The record is from RNAcentral.
CCCGGGGUGAGCUGUGUGUCGAGCACCUUCCCCAUCUUCUCCCCCACCCCUUCUUCCUUCCAGGCGGCUGCAUGAGGGCGAGGUCGCCAGAUCCGACCCUCCCUGGCCGCCGGUGCCGCUCCUCCCCAUCCCGAGGCCACCGCCGAGCCGCCUCACCCCAGGCCCCUGCUGCGCCGCCCCUCUGCAAGCCGCUGCAGCCCCAGCCCGUGCGAGGCCCCCGCCGCGCCGCCCCUCUACAAGUCGCCCGUGCACCACCUCUCCCGAGGCCCCCACCAACAAAACCUCGUGCGCCUCCCACCGCUCCCCCCUGCCAGCUCCGUCCGACCCGGUGCUGCUCGGCCGCUCUCAGCCAUCGGCGGCGAGCCUUGGCAACCGGAUCCAGGGACACUUCCAGCGGGCCACCGGCCUCGAGCAACCACUUCCCGUCCCGCAGCUAGCGCCACCAACUAGCGAGGAUGCGGCAGCAACAGCUCCCUGCUCACGUGGCGGAUCUGUCCCCGUGCACUCCUCUGGUUCCACCCACUAGAGCAGAGCAUGGCAGCAAGCCUUCCCAUGGUUGCACCUCCGCCUCCCAUCAGAGUCUGCAUAUGCUUAUGCAGCUCACCUUCACUUUGUCUGCAGCUCUCUGUAGCCUCUCAUGGUGUUCACGUCUGUUGCUUCUAAUCUGCAUGGCGAUCGGCGUAGAAGCCACAGGCAUGGAAGAAGGCCAGCGCCGGCAGCUGCUCCUCACCCUGCUCCGCUCCCGUGCAGUGUGGAGCCCGUGUGUGUCUUGCCUGCCUGCCCCAUCCCAACCGAGAGACCCCCACUUUUCGGUGAGAUCCGGCGACGAGGACCUGCUCCACCGCGGCGCUCGCCUGCCCCUCUCCUCAACUCCUCGUCCUGGCCUCAUCUCCGGCCCGGUCAGGGCUCACCUCACCUACCCCCACGAGGUCUAGUCCCAGCUCCGCCAUAGCCCGCCUUGCCGGUCUAGAGAUUCUCCUCGGUGCACCGAGUUCCCCUGCUUCUUCUCCUCACCAACGAACAACCAACCAUGCCAACAUUUGAGGUUGUUGCAGUUCACUGUUUUGAUUUUUGGAGGAAAAUCGCUACACUGCAGUUUGCUAUUCCCAUCGAUGAGAUUUGCGUUUUCUUGUGUCUCUACUUAAGAGUAAUAAAAGUGCAAAUGCAGUCCGCUGUACUUUUGCUCUUGAGGUUCAUUUUACUCUCUUUUUUUGCAGAAAAGAUGGGUGAUGGAGUGCGCUUCACGAGGUUGGUCGUAUCCCUCCUGCCAGGUCGUGCAGUUCCUUGGCUCGCGACAUGCGGUCCGGUAGCAUGGGCUUUCUGUUCACGGGCACGCCGGUUUCCACCAUGCAGUUCGCUAGCUGGUUGGGCGUGGUUUCGGUAUCGCGGCAAUGCAGUUUGAUUGAGUGCUUCCGGUGUACACUUCAAAUUAGUUUUUUUGUAUGUUCAGAUUUACAUUGCAAUGUGGUGAAGUCCCGGCUGGGUGGUGCUACAAUGCAGUUUGUGUGUGCCGCUCUCAGUCUUUGCUGUUGUUUUCUUGGUGGUGCUCGAGUGCUAAUUCUGCUAUGUAUGGUUGUAUGCUGGUGGUUUGUGCUACAACGACGUGCAGUUCGCCAGGCUGUGUCGUGCGCUUCGCAGGGCCAUGGAGUGCGGUUCACCGGUCGGCGCCUUUGCGUUCGGUUUGCCAUUUGC